Molecule: ribosomal RNA, 1391 nt
Filed under: metagenome
Description: bacterial LSU rRNA
Rfam family: Bacterial large subunit ribosomal RNA
Source: RNAcentral
CAGUUGGUUAAAGUGCGUAGGUGUUGAGUCAGUAGGCAAAUCCGCUGAUGAACUGAAACAUGAUAGUACUCAGAUCCUUUCGGGGUGAAGAGAUAGUGACUCCAAGCAUACUUCCAAGAAAAACCUCUAAGCUUCAGGUAAUAACAGCCCGUACCAUAAACCGACACAGGUAGUCGAGGAGAAUAUCCUAAGGCGGUCGAGUGAGUCAUGGCUAAGGAACUAGGCAAAUUAGUCUCGUAACUUCGGGAAAAGAGACCCCCACUUCGGUGGGGCGCAGAGAAAUGGCCCAGGCGACUGUUUAGCAAAAACACAGGACUCUGCAAAAUCGAAAGAUGACGUAUAGGGUCUGACACCUGCCCGGUGCCAGAAGGUUAAGGAAGGGGGUUAGCGCAAGCGAAGCUCUUGACUGAAGCCCCGGUAAACGGCGGCCGUAACAAUAACGGUCCUAAGGUAGCGAAAUUCCUUGUCGGGUAAGUUCCGACCUGCACGAAUGGUGUAACGAUCUGGGCACUGUCUCAGCCAUGAGCUCGGUGAAAUUGAAGUAUCGGUGAAGAUGCCGGUUACCCGCCACGGGACGAAAAGACCCCGUGCACCUUUACUAUAGCUUCACAUUGUGCUUGAAUAUAAGAUGUGUAGGAUAGGUGGGAGACUUUGAAGCGGCCACGCUAGUGGUUGUGGAGUCAACGUUGAAAUACCACCCUUCUUCUAUUUAGGUUCUAACCCCGUACCCACGGGGGACAGUGUGUGGUGGGUAGUUUGACUGGGGUGGUCGCCUCCUAAAGAGUAACGGAGGCUUGCAAAGGUGCCCUCAGCAUGGACGGUAAUCAUGCGAAGAGCGUAUUAGUAUAAGGGCGCUUGACUGAGAGAGCGACGGCUCGACCAGGUACGAAAGUAGGCUAAAGUGAUCCGGUGUUUCCGCAUGGAAGGGACAUCGCUCAAAGGAUAAAAGGUACGCCGGGGAUAACAGGCUGAUCUCCCCCAAGAGCCCAUAUCGACGGGGAGGUUUGGCACCUCGAUGUCGGUUCGUCACAUCCUGGGGCUGAAGAAGGUCCCAAGGGUUCGGCUGUUCGCCGAUUAAAGUGGCACGUGAACUGGGUUCAGAACGUCGCAAGACAGUUCGGUCUCUAUCUGUGGUGGGCGUUGUAAUAUUGAAGGGAACUGACUCUAGUACGAGAGGACCGAGUUGGACGUACCUCUAGUGUAUCUGUUGUGCCGCCAGGUGCAAUGCAGAGUAGCUAUGUACGGACUAGAUAAGCGCUGAAAGCAUCUAAGCGCGAAGCUAUCCUUAAGAUGAGUAUUACUGGGGUCGUAGAAGACGACUACGUUGAUAGGCUAUAGGUGUAAGCGUAGUAAUACGUUCAGCUGAGUAGUACUAAUUACCCCUUAGCUUC